AUAGACGCUGCAUCGAGACGGUUCCAUACAAGCUGCACCAGACUUGUGUGGAACCGUCGUCGAUGGAAAAAAUAAUU
This is a non-coding RNA of Bombyx mori (domestic silkworm), 77 nucleotides long. NCBI's taxonomy places the organism in Eukaryota, Metazoa, Arthropoda, Insecta, Lepidoptera, Bombycidae. The record is from RefSeq and is marked provisional.